UACGUAGGGUGCAAGCGUUGUCCGGAAUUAUUGGGCGUAAAGAGCUCGUAGGUGGCCUGUCGCGUCGGCUGUGAAAACUCGGGGCUCAACUCCGAGCUUGCAGUCGAUACGGGCAGGCUAGAGUUCGGCAGGGGAGACUGGAAUUCCUGGUGUAGCGGUGAAAUGCGCAGAUAUCAGGAGGAACACCGGUGGCGAAGGCGGGUCUCUGGGCCGAUACUGACACUGAGAGACGAAAGCUAGGGGAGCGAAUGGG
RNAcentral lists this ribosomal RNA (253 nucleotides) under uncultured bacterium. RNAcentral's name for it is "partial 16S ribosomal RNA". It matches the Rfam family "Bacterial small subunit ribosomal RNA", at positions 524 to 776 of the family's 1533-position model. The record is from RNAcentral.